AAACAUGUCUCUUUGAAAUUAUUUAAUAAAGAGUUGGGCCUGCUCAAUGAUUAAUAUUAAAUAGCUGCGGUAUUAUAACUGUACUAAGGUAGCAUAAUAAUUUGCCUUAUAAAUUAAGGCUAGAAUGAAUGGUUUGACGAGAAUUAGACUGUCUCUAUUUUAUUUAAUAGAAAUUAAUUUUUAUAGUGAAAAAGCUUGAAUAUAUUAAAGGGACGAGAAGACCCUAUUGAGCUUAAAAUUGUUAUGGAAAAUAUUAAUAAUAUUUAAUUAAUAUUAUUAGUUUAUUUAUAUUUGUCAAUGUAAUUUUGAUUGGGGUGAUCAAGGAAGAAUAAAUUUAAUAACUUCCUUAAAUUUAUAUAUAUAUAAAUUAAUAAACCAUAGUUUUGCUUAGAAGAUAAGUUACCAUAGGGAUAACAGCGUAAUUUUUUUUGAGAGUUCAUAUUGAGAAAAAAGAUUGCGACCUCGAUGUUGGAUUAAAUAUAACCUUAAGGUGAAGAAGCUUUAUUGGGUGAAUCUGUUCGAUUUUUAAAAUUUUACAUGAUC
This 543-nucleotide ribosomal RNA is filed under the name Paroctopus mercatoris. Its description in RNAcentral is "partial large subunit ribosomal RNA". It matches the Rfam family "Bacterial large subunit ribosomal RNA", at positions 1811 to 2605 of the family's 2925-position model. The record is from RNAcentral. Lineage: Eukaryota; Metazoa; Mollusca; Cephalopoda; Octopoda; Octopodidae.